UUAUUUUUGGGGUAUUAUUGUGUUUAUUAGAAAAUUUAUUUUUAGUAGUUUGAGCGAAGGGUGAAGGGUUCCUAAAGAGGAUUAAGUACUGAGAAGGAAAGUUUAGUUAUUUAUUUAGAAUGUUAGGUUGGUUAGUACCUUUUGUAUUAGGGUUAAUUUAUGUGGUUUUGCUUUUGUUAUAUCUCGAUGAGUGUCGGGCUAUUUUUCCUUGGUAUAUUCUCGUUGUAUAGAGUUUAAUAGGGGAUUAUAGUUAUGAAAUAUUAUUCAAGUUUCUUUUUAUCUAGUUCUUUAAGAAAUUUAAUAGUUGGUAGUGUUAUUAGGACGAUAAAUAGGGAUUAGCUUAUUUAUUUUUUAUAUUUUAUUGUCGUUGGGGUUUUGUUUGUUAAGUUGAUAGUGCUUGUUUAGAUGGAGUUAUUAUUGAGCAGGUUAUUUAAAUUAUUUUUUUGGUUUUGUUUUUGUAUUAGGGUUAUGUUAUGAAUUUUUAGUGGUUUGUAAUAAUGAUUAUAUUAGUAAUAAUUUUUUAUUGGGGUGUUAUUUUAGUUUAUUCUGGUCUUUUUGUUAGAUGGGGGGUACUUUAAAUUAGGGUUGAUGAAUUAGGCAAGAGGAAUUUCUGACUGUUUAGCAAAGACAUUGUUUUUUGUUGUGGUAAAAAAUAAUUUCUGUCCACUGCUAUUAGGUGAAGGGCUGCAGUAUUUUGACUGUAUGAAGGUAGCAUAAUCAUUAGCUUCUUAAUUAGAAGCUGGUAUGAAGGUGAAACAGGGGUUUGCUGUAUUUUUUCUAUUUUUUGAAUUUAAUUUUCAUGUGAAAAAUCAUGAUUGGGUUAAUGGGACAAGAAGACCCUAAUAAGUUUUAUUUUUUUUAUUUAAUGCGUGCAUAGGUUUUUAUUUGUGUAAUUUAUUUAGGGGAGUUUGGCUGGGGCGGCAGUUUAUUUGACAUAGACUAAUUUUUAAUUUUUUGUGGCGAUAUUUGGACCUAGUUUGUUUAGAUUAGUGUGUAACUACUGUAGGGAUAACAGCGUGAUUUUUUUUGAGAGUUCUAAUUGACAAUAAAGUUUGCGACCUCGAUGUUGGAUUAAGAAGAGCAUUGGCGAAGUAGUUGAGGUUUUGGUC
This 1109-nucleotide ribosomal RNA is filed under the name Brachoria dentata. Its description in RNAcentral is "partial large subunit ribosomal RNA". Lineage: Eukaryota; Metazoa; Arthropoda; Diplopoda; Polydesmida; Xystodesmidae. The record is from RNAcentral.